This 1097-nucleotide long non-coding RNA is filed under the name Mytilus galloprovincialis (Mediterranean mussel). Lineage: Eukaryota; Metazoa; Mollusca; Bivalvia; Mytilida; Mytilidae. The record is from RNAcentral.
AUUAGGUCUUUCCACUUUUCCGUGGAAAGACCUAUUGGUUUUCUUCUGAUUAUUAGGUCUUUCAACCUUUCAGUUGAAAGACCUAUAGGUUUUGUUCUGAUUAUUAGGUCUUUCCACUUUUCCGUGGAAAGACCUAUUGGUUUUCUUCUGAUUAUUAUUAGGUCUUUCCACUUUUCCGUGGAAAGACCUAUUGGUUUUCUUCUGAUUAUUAUUAUUAUUAUUAUUUUUUUUCUUCCGCCAACUUUUUUUCCUUCGCAAUUUUUUGUUUUUGCAAGAUGUCGCUUAGAUAUAUGGUAUAUGAUAUCGAACAAUAAAUACGCUUUUGAAACAGACACCGCGUAACCAAAAUCUUAUCCAUGUAAGAGUUAUCUCCCCGAACACUGUUUUUCUUGUUAUCACUUAAUCUUCGCAACCGUAUAAGAAACCGACAAAUUUAUUUUACCAAAUUGCUCGUUAUAUCCUCAGGAUGAUUUGAUUCAUUUUGACCGAAGCUAUCCGGAGACUCCAUAUGAGAGUUAUUUCCCCUUUUAUAUUUGAUAUAAGUGAUAUGCAUUUUUAACUGGAAAACCAUAAGUGGUAGAGGCCUAGGGUCUUUUGAUUUGAGGUCCUUGGUCCAAAAAAAUGAAAAUGAGGUCAAGGUCAAAGGUCAAGGUCAUGAUUAAAAUUUUGAUUUUGGCUUGUUAUCUCUUAUUUUCAGAAAUCAUACAAGAUAUCGACAAAAUAUUUUCACACAAUUGUUAGUUACGACAUGUCGUAACACAUAAAUUUUAGUCGAAAGGGUACCUAGACAUUUGACGCAAGUUUUUCCCCUUUUUAUAUCUAAUAUCAUACGUAUGGUAAUAUAACUCAUUAACAAUAUAAAGUAGAGGACUAGAGUCUUUUGAUUUGAGGUCCUUGGUUUAUGACCUUGAAAUUGAGCUCAAGGUCAUAUGCUAAUUAAACGUUCUAGAUUUUGACCUUUGCUUUUACCUCAUAUGUACACAUGAUAAAGUCAUGGGACUUUUUGCAUUAAGUUGUAAGCAAUGUGACCUUAAAAAACACAACCGGAAGUGACCUUUUGUAAACCGGAAGUAGCUAUUUUUUGUACUAAAUCAAUG